This 253-nucleotide ribosomal RNA is filed under the name uncultured bacterium. RNAcentral's name for it is "partial 16S ribosomal RNA". It matches the Rfam family "Bacterial small subunit ribosomal RNA", at positions 524 to 776 of the family's 1533-position model. The record is from RNAcentral.
UACGGAGGGUGCGAGCGUUGUCCGGAAUCACUGGGCGUAAAGGGCGCGUAGGCGGCCUGAUAAGUAGGGGGUGAAAUCCUGCGGCUUAACCGCAGGGCUGCCUUCUAAACUGUCAGGCUAGAGCACAGUAGAGGCAGGUGGAAUUCCCGGUGUAGCGGUGAAAUGCGCAGAUAUCGGGAGGAACACCAAUGGCGAAGGCAGCUCGCUGGGACGGUACUGACGCUGAGACGCGAAAGCGUGGGGAGCAAACAGG